This is a non-coding RNA of Mycena latifolia, 87 nucleotides long. NCBI's taxonomy places the organism in Eukaryota, Fungi, Basidiomycota, Agaricomycetes, Agaricales, Mycenaceae. The record is from the annotation of a GenBank genome assembly.
GGCCUGAUGGCACGAUGUCAGUGCGUCUGCAUAUAGUAUUCUGCUCCGUUUCUGCAGAUGAUCCUCGUUCGAACCGGGGUCAGGUCA